CAGUAGCCGCGGUAAUACGUAGGUGGCGAGCGUUGUCCGGAUUUAUUGGGCGUAAAGGGAGUGUAGGCGGUCUUUUAAGUCUGAUGUGAAAGCCCACGGCUCAACCGUGGAGGGUCAUUGGAAACUGGGAGACUUGAGUGCAGAAGAGGAGAGCGGAAUUCCAUGUGUAGCGGUGAAAUGCGUAGAUAUAUGGAGGAACACCAGUGGCGAAGGCGGCUCUCUGGUCUGUAACUGACGCUGAGGCUCGAAAGCGUGGGGAGCAAACAGGAUUAGAUACCCCGGUAGUCCCUGUCUCUUAUAC
RNAcentral lists this ribosomal RNA (301 nucleotides) under uncultured bacterium. Its description in RNAcentral is "partial 16S ribosomal RNA". It matches the Rfam family "Bacterial small subunit ribosomal RNA", at positions 509 to 807 of the family's 1533-position model. The record is from RNAcentral.